This 339-nucleotide unclassified non-coding RNA is filed under the name soil metagenome. RNAcentral describes it as "partial contains 5.8S ribosomal RNA, internal transcribed spacer 2, and large subunit ribosomal RNA". The stretch from base 1 to 120 matches the Rfam family "5.8S ribosomal RNA", at positions 35 to 154 of the family's 154-position model. The record is from RNAcentral.
GAUGAAGAACGUAGCGAAAUGCGAUAAGUAAUGUGAAUUGCAGAAUUCAGUGAAUCAUCGAAUCUUUGAACGCACAUUGCGCCCGCCAGUAUUCUGGCGGGCAUGCCUGUUCGAGCGUCAUUUCAACCAUCAAGCCCCCGGCUUGUGUUGGGGACCCUGCGGCUGCCCGCAGGCCCUGAAAACCAGUGGCGGGCUCGCUGUCACUCCGAGCGUAGUAGCAUAUAUCUCGCUCAGGGCGUGCUGCGGGUUCCGGCCGUUAAAAGCCUUUUUUUUACCCAAGGUUGACCUCGGAUCAGGUAGGAAGACCCGCUGAACUUAAGCAUAUCAAUAAGCGGAGGA